This 765-nucleotide ribosomal RNA is filed under the name Bacillus licheniformis. Its description in RNAcentral is "bacterial SSU rRNA". It matches the Rfam family "Bacterial small subunit ribosomal RNA", at positions 74 to 822 of the family's 1533-position model. The record is from RNAcentral. Lineage: Bacteria; Bacillati; Bacillota; Bacilli; Caryophanales; Bacillaceae.
GGGAGCUUGCUCCCUGAUGUCAGCGGCGGACGGGUGAGUAACACGUGGGUAACCUGCCUGUAAGACUGGGAUAACUCCGGGAAACCGGGGCUAAUACCGGAUGCUUGAUUGAACCGCAUGGUUCAAUUAUAAAAGGUGGCUUUUAGCUACCACUUACAGAUGGACCCGCGGCGCAUUAGCUAGUUGGUGAGGUAACGGCUCACCAAGGCAACGAUGCGUAGCCGACCUGAGAGGGUGAUCGGCCACACUGGGACUGAGACACGGCCCAGACUCCUACGGGAGGCAGCAGUAGGGAAUCUUCCGCAAUGGACGAAAGUCUGACGGAGCAACGCCGCGUGAGUGAUGAAGGUUUUCGGAUCGUAAAACUCUGUUGUUAGGGAAGAACAAGUACCGUUCGAAUAGGGCGGUACCUUGACGGUACCUAACCAGAAAGCCACGGCUAACUACGUGCCAGCAGCCGCGGUAAUACGUAGGUGGCAAGCGUUGUCCGGAAUUAUUGGGCGUAAAGCGCGCGCAGGCGGUUUCUUAAGUCUGAUGUGAAAGCCCCCGGCUCAACCGGGGAGGGUCAUUGGAAACUGGGGAACUUGAGUGCAGAAGAGGAGAGUGGAAUUCCACGUGUAGCGGUGAAAUGCGUAGAGAUGUGGAGGAACACCAGUGGCGAAGGCGACUCUCUGGUCUGUAACUGACGCUGAGGCGCGAAAGCGUGGGGAGCGAACAGGAUUAGAUACCCUGGUAGUCCACGCCGUACACGAUGAGUGCUAAGUG